This is a non-coding RNA of Schistosoma haematobium, 45 nucleotides long. Lineage: Eukaryota; Metazoa; Platyhelminthes; Trematoda; Strigeidida; Schistosomatidae. The record is from Rfam.
AUCCAGCUGACAAGUCAUAAAUAGGACGAAACGUGCGUCCUGGAU